AUGCUCCACUCGUGGCGAAAUCUGGACCAUGUUCCCCGAUCUGCUUAUCAAUUCUGGAUCAUGGCCCGGAACAUCAUGGGAGUAAAAGACAAGAAGAAAUGGGGUAAACCGAAUUGGCUCUGCCACAUCACCGAAGGGAUAAGUAGAGAAGAAAAGAGGUGGGGAACCAAGGAGGUCCUUGUUAGACAUCCCGCGGACAAUGUAAGAUCGACUUUCAUCUUUAAGAACAGCAGCCACCGGGAUGGUGCUAUAUACAAAAGAAGCUUUGCUCUUCGAAAAUUAUGUCGUGUUACUGACCGUGAUGAGACACAACUUGAGCCAAUGAUGUUAUCGGAGCCAACGGAUUGCUUUCCUGACCGAGAAAGGUGCUGCGUGCAUUAUGAAAGGCCGAUGAUGCAAAUUUUCUCAUUAAAAUUGGCUAGUGUCUCUAUCAACACUAGCUCAGUAGAACUAUAUGGAUAUAUUGCAGUGCGGGAUUAUGUGGACUCAUUGCUUAAUUAUAUUGUCAACCGUAGCAGGGAUGACCCCAUUAUUGCGCAACAGGGUUCUUUCAUUGAGAUGACUGGCCCUAAGCGAGGCAUUGCAAUGAAUUCCCCUGUUCUAGUUGAAUUUGACAUGAGGAUCAAGACAGGAGAGAAAGAAGAAGAUGAUCUAACAUUGAUCGACGGCGCAACAGAUUAUUGUGACCUAACCAUACCUUCUGUGUCAUUCACACAUCGCAUUCAUGGCAAUUGUGGUGCGGUUGACAUCACUUUAGCACGUGUUUACAAUGCAGUGGAAGCAACAAUAGAUGUUCUCGUAUUGAAAGUGCAGAAUGGAUUCAAUUUAUCGCUCAGUUCGUUUGUGUUUGUCGGCGGAUCAGAUCAGGAAAUUCCUCUCUUUCGUGGCACUACUGCUGAGUCAUGUGGCUUAAGAAGAUGCGUGAUUGCUGUGAAGAUGGAUACUUGGAUGCAGUUGAAGUUCAAGGUAGGUCAGAACGGCUCUAAAAAUGAUCAUCUUGAACGCAGUUGCUACUUCAAAGCAAACAUUCAUGGAUGUGCCUGUCAACAAAUAAUGCUUCAGCAUGCCGCCCUCUCUGUGAAGGUGACUUGGUCGACCGUGCCAGUAUAA
Molecule: ribosomal RNA, 1110 nt
Filed under: Triticum aestivum (bread wheat)
Lineage: Eukaryota; Viridiplantae; Streptophyta; Magnoliopsida; Poales; Poaceae
Description: partial small subunit ribosomal RNA
Source: RNAcentral